CUACAGAGGGUGCGAGCGUUAAUCGGAAUUACUGGGCGUAAAGCGCGCGUAGGCGGCUUGGUCAGUCGGAUGUGAAAGCCCCGGGCUCAACCUGGGAAUUGCAUUCGAUACUGACAGGCUAGAGUAUGGGAGAGGGAAGUGGAAUUUCCGGUGUAGCGGUGAAAUGCGUAGAUAUCGGAAAGAACACCAGUGGCGAAGGCGACUGCCUGGCCCAAUACUGACGCUGAGGUGCGAAAGCGUGGGGAGCGAACAGGAUUAGAAACCCUAGUAGUCC
Molecule: ribosomal RNA, 274 nt
Filed under: uncultured bacterium
Lineage: Bacteria
Description: partial 16S ribosomal RNA
Rfam family: Bacterial small subunit ribosomal RNA
Source: RNAcentral